CGUGUGACUGCGUACCUUUUGUAUAAUGGGUCAGCGACUUAUAUUCUGUAGCAAGGUUAACCGAAUAGGGGAGCCGAAGGGAAACCGAGUCUUAACUGGGCGUUAAGUUGCAGGGUAUAGACCCGAAACCCGGUGAUCUAGCCAUGGGCAGGUUGAAGGUUGGGUAACACUAACUGGAGGACCGAACCGACUAAUGUUGAAAAAUUAGCGGAUGACUUGUGGCUGGGGGUGAAAGGCCAAUCAAACCGGGAGAUAGCUGGUUCUCCCCGAAAGCUAUUUAGGUAGCGCCUCGUGAAUUCAUCUCCGGGGGUAGAGCACUGUUUCGGCAAGGGGGUCAUCCCGACUUACCAACCCGAUGCAAACUGCGAAUACCGGAGAAUGUUAUCACGGGAGACACACGGCGGGUGCUAACGUCCGUCGUGAAGAGGGAAACAACCCAGACCGCCAGCUAAGGUCCCAAAGUCAUGGUUAAGUGGGAAACGAUGUGGGAAGGCCCAGACAGCCAGGAUGUUGGCUUAGAAGCAGCCAUCAUUUAAAGAAAGCGUAAUAGCUCACUGGUCGAGUCGGCCUGCGCGGAAGAUGUAACGGGGCUAAACCAUGCACCGAAGCUGCGGCAGCGACACUAUGUGUUGUUGGGUAGGGGAGCG
RNAcentral lists this ribosomal RNA (647 nucleotides) under Escherichia coli. Its description in RNAcentral is "partial 23S ribosomal RNA". It matches the Rfam family "Bacterial large subunit ribosomal RNA", at positions 590 to 1238 of the family's 2925-position model. The record is from RNAcentral. Lineage: Bacteria; Pseudomonadati; Pseudomonadota; Gammaproteobacteria; Enterobacterales; Enterobacteriaceae.